UGUAGCUCAGUGGUAGAGCAGCAUGUACUCAUGAUAUGCAAGGCCUGGGUUCAACCCCCAGUA
Molecule: transfer RNA, 63 nt
Filed under: Mus musculus (house mouse)
Lineage: Eukaryota; Metazoa; Chordata; Mammalia; Rodentia; Muridae
Also listed under: 1 other name
Rfam family: tRNA
About the family: Transfer RNA (tRNA) molecules are approximately 80 nucleotides in length.
Source: Rfam by way of RNAcentral